This 420-nucleotide ribosomal RNA is filed under the name uncultured Leucobacter sp. RNAcentral's name for it is "bacterial SSU rRNA". It matches the Rfam family "Bacterial small subunit ribosomal RNA", at positions 358 to 790 of the family's 1533-position model. Lineage: Bacteria; Bacillati; Actinomycetota; Actinomycetes; Micrococcales; Microbacteriaceae. The record is from RNAcentral.
GGAAUAUUGCACAAUGGGCGCAAGCCUGAUGCAGCAACGCCGCGUGAGGGAUGAAGGCCUUCGGGUUGUAAACCUCUUUUAGUAGGGAAGAAGCGAAAGUGACGGUACCUGCAGAAAAAGCACCGGCUAACUACGUGCCAGCAGCCGCGGUAAUACGUAGGGUGCAAGCGUUGUCCGGAAUUAUUGGGCGUAAAGAGCUCGUAGGCGGCUUGUCGCGUCUGCUGUGAAAACCCGAGGCUCAACUUCGGGCUUGCAGUGGGUACGGGCAGGCUAGAGUGUGGUAGGGGAGAUUGGAAUUCCUGGUGUAGCGGUGGAAUGCGCAGAUAUCAGGAGGAACACCGAUGGCGAAGGCAGAUCUCUGGGCCACUACUGACGCUGAGGAGCGAAAGCAUGGGGAGCGAACAGGAUUAGAUACCCUAG